CAGUCGCCGCGGUAAUACGAAGGGUGCAAGCGUUAAUCGGAAUUACUGGGCGUAAAGCGUGCGUAGGCGGUUUGUUAAGUCUGUUGUGAAAUCCCCGGGCUCAACCUGGGAAUGGCAAUGGAUACUGGCAAGCUAGAGUGUGUCAGAGGAUGGUGGAAUUCCCGGUGUAGCGGUGAAAUGCGUAGAGAUCGGGAGGAACAUCAGUGGCGAAGGCGGCCAUCUGGGACAACACUGACGCUGAGGCACGAAAGCGUGGGGAGCAAACAGGAUUAGAUACCCCAGUAGUCCCUGUCUCUUAUAA
Molecule: ribosomal RNA, 301 nt
Filed under: uncultured bacterium
Lineage: Bacteria
Description: partial 16S ribosomal RNA
Rfam family: Bacterial small subunit ribosomal RNA
Source: RNAcentral